AAUAGAUACCCCGGUAGUCCAUGCCGUAAACGUUGGGAACUAGAUGUAGGGCCUGUUCCACGGGUUCUGUGUCGUAGCUAGCGCAUUAAGUUCCCCGCCUGGGGAGUACGGCCGCAAGGCUAAAACUCAAAGGAAUUGACGGGGGCCCGCGACAAGCGGCGGAGCAUGCGGAUUAAUUCGAUGCAACGCGAAGAACCUUACCAAGGCUUGACAUAUACGAGAACACUGUAGAGAUACAGGACUCUUUGGACACUCGUAUACAGGUGGUGCAUGGUUGUCGUCAGCUCGUGUCGUGAGAUGUUCGGUUAAGUCCGGCAACGAGCGCAACCCUCGUCCUAUGUUGCCAGCACGUGAUGGUGGGAACUCAUGGGAUACUGCCGUGGUCAACACGGAGGAAGGUGGGGAUGACGUCAAAUCAUCAUGCCCCUUAUGUCUUGGGCUUCACGCAUGGCUACAAUGGCCGGUACAAAGGGCUGCGAUACCGUAAGGUGGAGCGAAUCCCAAAAGCCGGUCUCGAGUUCGGAUUGGGGUCUGACC
This 537-nucleotide ribosomal RNA is filed under the name uncultured bacterium. Its description in RNAcentral is "bacterial SSU rRNA". It matches the Rfam family "Bacterial small subunit ribosomal RNA", at positions 777 to 1310 of the family's 1533-position model. The record is from RNAcentral.